GGAAAGUGGGGGCAGGGUGCGACGGGAAUGCGGAGGUGGCGGAGGUUAAUCGGGGUUACUGGGCGUAAAGGGGGCGUAGGCGGUAGAUUAAGUGGGAUGUGAAAGCCCCGGGAGUAAACUGGGAAGUGCAUCGCAAACUAAUUGACUAGAGUAGAUGAGAGGGUGUCGGAAUUUCCGGUGUAGCGGUGAAAUGCGUAGAGAUCGGAAGGAACGUCGAUGGCGAAGGCAGACACCUGGCAUAAUACUGACGCUGAGGCGCGAAAGCGUGGGGAGCGAACAGGAUUAGAUACCCGAGUAGUC
This 300-nucleotide ribosomal RNA is filed under the name uncultured Sporohalobacter sp. RNAcentral's name for it is "bacterial SSU rRNA". The stretch from base 56 to 300 matches the Rfam family "Bacterial small subunit ribosomal RNA", at positions 551 to 795 of the family's 1533-position model. Lineage: Bacteria; Bacillati; Bacillota; Clostridia; Halanaerobiales; Halobacteroidaceae. The record is from RNAcentral.